This 616-nucleotide ribosomal RNA is filed under the name Emergomyces canadensis. RNAcentral's name for it is "LSU rRNA". It matches the Rfam family "Eukaryotic large subunit ribosomal RNA", at positions 38 to 667 of the family's 3401-position model. The record is from RNAcentral. Lineage: Eukaryota; Fungi; Ascomycota; Eurotiomycetes; Onygenales; Ajellomycetaceae.
GCAUAUCAAUAAGCGGAGGAAAAGAAACCAACAGGGAUUGCCUCAGUAACGGCGAGUGAAGCGGCAAAAGCUCAAAUUUGAAAUCUGGCUUCUUCGGAGCCCGAGUUGUAAUUUGUAGAGGAUGCUUCGGGCGUGGCCGCGGUCUAAGUCCCCUGGAACGGGGCGUCGCAGAGGGUGAGAAUCCCGUCUUCGGCCGGCCGGCUUCGCCCGUGUGAAGCUCCUUCGACGAGUCGAGUUGUUUGGGAAUGCAGCUCUAAAUGGGUGGUAAAUUUCAUCUAAAGCUAAAUACUGGUCGGAGACCGAUAGCGCACAAGUAGAGUGAUCGAAAGAUGAAAAGCACUUUGAAAAGAGAGUUAAACAGCAUGUGAAAUUGUUGAAAGGGAAGCGCUUGCGACCAGAGUCGGCCGCGGGGGUUCAGCGGGCAUUCGUUGCCCGUGCACUCCCCCGGGGCCGGGCCAGCGUCGGUUUCGACGGCCGGUCAAAGGCCCCCGGAAUGUGUCGCCUCUCGGGGCGUCUUAUAGCCGGGGGUGCAAUGCGGCCAGUCGGGACCGAGGAACGCGCUUCGGCACGGACGCUGGCUUAAUGGUCGUAAGCGACCCGUCUUGAAACACGGACC